This 500-nucleotide ribosomal RNA is filed under the name Podon leuckartii. Its description in RNAcentral is "bacterial SSU rRNA". It matches the Rfam family "Eukaryotic small subunit ribosomal RNA", at positions 51 to 500 of the family's 1831-position model. Lineage: Eukaryota; Metazoa; Arthropoda; Branchiopoda; Diplostraca; Podonidae. The record is from RNAcentral.
AUGCAUGUCUAAGUACAAGCCGCUAGUCGGCGAAACCGCGAAUGGCUCAAUAAAUCAGUUAUGGUUCCUUAGAUCUAUUUAUCCUACUUGGAUAACUGUGGUAAUUCUAGAGCUAAUACAUGCAUUCAAGCCCCGACUCUCGGACUCUCGGGCCCGGGUAGGAGGGGUGCUUUUAUUAGACCAAAACCAAUCGAGGCGCUAAGCCGGGGYCGGGUUCGCCUGGCUCCGGUGCCUCGUUACCUUUGGUGACUCUGAAUAACUUUCCGCUGAUCGCACGGCCUCGAGCCGGCGACGCAUCUUUCAAAUGUCUGCCUUAUCAACUUUCGAUGGUAGGUUAUGCGCCUACCAUGGUUGCUACGGGUAACGGGGAAUCGGGGUUCGAUUCCGGAGAGGGAGCCUGAGAAACGGCUACCACAUCCAAGGAAGGCAGCAGGCGCGCAAAUUACCCACUCCCGGCACGGGGAGGUAGUGACGAAAAAUAACGAUACGGGACUCUUCCG